AGGUAUGCUUAGGGAGGAGCUUGCGUCACAUUAGUUAGUUGGUGGGGUAAAGGCCUACCAAGACUAUGAUGUGUAGCCGGGCUGAGAGGUUGAACGGCCACAUUGGGACUGAGACACGGCCCAAACUCCUACGGGAGGCAGCAGUAGGGAAUUUUCGGCAAUGGAGGAAACUCUGACCGAGCAACGCCGCGUGAACGAUGAAGUAUUUCGGUACGUAAAGUUCUUUUAUUAGGGAAGAAUAAAUGAUGGAAAAAUCAUUCUGACGGUACCUAAUGAAUAAGCCCCGGCUAACUAUGUGCCAGCAGCCGCGGUAAUACAUAGGGGGCAAGCGUUAUCCGGAAUUAUUGGGCGUAAAGGGUGCGUAGGCGGUUAAAUAAGUUUAUGGUCUAAGUGCAAUGCUCAACAUUGUGAUGCUAUAAAAACUGUUUAGCUAGAGUAAGAUAGAGGCAAGUGGAAUUCCAUGUGUAGUGGUAAAAUGCGUAAAUAUAUGGAGGAACACCAGUAGCGAAGGCGGCUUGCUGGGUCUUUACUGACGCUGAGGCACGAAAGCGUGGGGAGCAAACAGGAUUAGAUACCCUGGUAGUCCACGCCGUAAACGAUGAGUACUAAACGUUGGGUAAAACCAGUGUUGAAGUUAACACAUUAAGUACUCCGCCUGAGUAGUACGUACGCAAGUAUGAAACUUAAAGGAAUUGACGGGACUCCGCACAAGCGGUGGAUCAUGUUGUUUAAUUCGAAGGUACCCGAAAAACCUCACCAGGUCUUGACAUGCUUCUGCAAAGCUGUAGAAACACAGUGGAGGUUAUCAGUUGCACAGGUGGUGCAUGGUUGUCGUCAGCUCGUGUCGUGAGAUGUUGGGUUAAGUCCCGCAACGAGCGCAACCCUUAUUGUUAGUUACCAGCACGUAAUGGUGGGGACUUUAGCAAGACUGCCAGUGAUAAAUUGGAGGAAGGUGGGGACGACGUCAAAUCAUCAUGCCCCUUAUGACCUGGGCUACAAACGUGAUACAAUGGCUGUUACAAAGGGUAGCUGAAGCGCAAGUUUUUGGCGAAUCUCAAAAAAACAGUCUCAGUUCGGAUUGAAGUCUGCAACUCGACUUCAUGAAGUU
RNAcentral lists this ribosomal RNA (1108 nucleotides) under Sesame phyllody phytoplasma. RNAcentral describes it as "bacterial SSU rRNA". It matches the Rfam family "Bacterial small subunit ribosomal RNA", at positions 211 to 1327 of the family's 1533-position model. The record is from RNAcentral. Lineage: Bacteria; Bacillati; Mycoplasmatota; Mollicutes; Acholeplasmatales; Acholeplasmataceae.